This 506-nucleotide ribosomal RNA is filed under the name uncultured bacterium. RNAcentral's name for it is "bacterial SSU rRNA". It matches the Rfam family "Bacterial small subunit ribosomal RNA", at positions 899 to 1397 of the family's 1533-position model. The record is from RNAcentral.
ACUCAAAUGAAUAGACGGGAGCCCGCACAAGCAGUGGAGUAUGUGGUUUAAUUCGACGCAACGCGAAGAACCUUACCAGGAUUUGACAUCCCGGGAAUCCGGCGUAAUGGCUGGAGUGCCCUUCGGGGAACCCGGUGACAGGUGGUGCAUGGUUGUCGUCAGCUCGUGUCGUGAGAUGUUGGGUUAAGUCCCGCAACGAGCGCAACCCUUACGGUUAGUUGCUAGCAUGCCUAAAGGCGAUGAGCACUCUAGCCGGACUGCCGUUGACAAAACGGAGGAAGGUGGGGAUGAUGUCAAAUCAUCAUGCCCCUUAAGUUCUGGGCCACACACGUACUACAAUGGCGAAAACAAAGGGAAGCGAAGCCGCGAGGUGGAGCAAAUCCCAUAAAAGUCGUCCCAGUUCGAAUAGCAGGCUGAAACUCGCCUGCUUGAAGAUGGAAUUGCUAGUAAUCGCGGAUCAGCAUGCCGCGGUGAAUACGUUCCCGGGCUUUGCACACACCGCCCGU